GUCUAUGGCCAUACCACCCUGAACACGCCUGAUCUCGGAAGCUAAGCAGGGUUGGGCCUGGUUAGUACUUGGAUGGGAGCCACCAGCAUUUGUUAUUGGUU
Molecule: ribosomal RNA, 101 nt
Filed under: Fukomys damarensis (Damara mole-rat)
Lineage: Eukaryota; Metazoa; Chordata; Mammalia; Rodentia; Bathyergidae
Source: RNAcentral